RNAcentral lists this ribosomal RNA (253 nucleotides) under uncultured bacterium. RNAcentral describes it as "partial 16S ribosomal RNA". It matches the Rfam family "Bacterial small subunit ribosomal RNA", at positions 524 to 776 of the family's 1533-position model. The record is from RNAcentral.
GACGAAGGUGGCGAGCGUUGUUCGGAAUCACUGGGCAUAAAGCGCACGUAGGCGGUGCCGUAAGUCAGAUGUGAAAUCCCUCGGCCUAACCGAGGAACUGCGUCUGAUACUGCGGUGCUUGAGGAUCAGAGGGGUGCAUGGAAUUUCCGGUGGAGCGGUGAAAUGCGUUGAUAUCGGAAGGAACUCCGGCGGCGAAAGCGAUGCACUGGCUGAUUUCUGACGCUGAGGUGCGAAAGCGUGGGGAGCAAACAGG